Small nuclear RNA from Papilio machaon (common yellow swallowtail), 150 nucleotides. It matches the Rfam family "U12 minor spliceosomal RNA". Rfam says of the family: Although the U12 sequence is very divergent from that of U2, the two are functionally analogous. The record is from Rfam. NCBI's taxonomy places the organism in Eukaryota, Metazoa, Arthropoda, Insecta, Lepidoptera, Papilionidae.
GUGCCUCAAUUUAUUGAGUAAGGAAAUUAUUGGGCCUUGGUAACGCUUGGCUAUGUCCUAGUUAAGGGCGACCGAUUUUUUGCAGGGUACAGGUCGUCCUGUGAGUUGCGCGCCUACUUUGCGCGCGAUUCCGGUGAAGCGAUCUGCCCU